Molecule: transfer RNA, 84 nt
Filed under: Candidatus Nealsoniibacteriota bacterium
Lineage: Bacteria; Candidatus Nealsoniibacteriota
Description: Candidatus Nealsonbacteria bacterium tRNA-Ser
Rfam family: tRNA
About the family: Transfer RNA (tRNA) molecules are approximately 80 nucleotides in length.
Source: RNAcentral
GGAGGAGUUGGAUAACUGGCUAUUCCGCCGGUCUCGAAAACUGGUGCUUGUAAAGGCUUGUGGGUUCGAGUCCCACCUCCUCCG